Molecule: small RNA, 81 nt
Filed under: Flavobacterium frigidimaris
Lineage: Bacteria; Pseudomonadati; Bacteroidota; Flavobacteriia; Flavobacteriales; Flavobacteriaceae
Description: Flavo-1 RNA
Rfam family: Flavo-1 RNA
Source: RNAcentral
UUUAAGCGUUAGGGAUAGGAGCGAUAUCCUUUUUGUUUUUUCUUUAAAAACAAAAAGAUAUAGCGGAUAGCCCGACCGUAG